UUGACGAUAAGGAAGUUGAAGUGGAGUUCAUGUACUUGGUAAAAUGGAAGGAAAGUAACACUCCUUUUGAGAAGAGAAUGAAGUACUCAAUCUUCUUCACUACGCCAUCACUUGGAAAUCAAUUGGUUUCCAAUAAUCAACUCCAGUGUGACAGUUCUCCUAACUGGUUUCCUAGCUACUAUUCUUAUGCAAGUCCUUAGAAAUGAUUUUUUUGAGUUAACCAGUUGGGUUACAGUCCAUUGUUGCCAAUCCAAGCCAGAGUCAGCAGGGAAAAAAAGAUACAAGGCAUGCACGUCAACUGUAUGUUGGUGGCCUUCCACCAUUGGCUAAUGAGCAGUUACUGUGGAUGCUUCGUUGCUGGUGUCUACUAUGUGGAGCCAUAUGCGUAUACGGAUUGCUUCAACAAGCCUGUCCAUGAGGACACUGUCCUUGCAACUCGCAAACAAAUUGAAUCUAGAAAUUCUCUUGCUUUUGUUCCCAAAGUGAUUAGGAGCUCGAAUUAUCCAUUUGAAGCCAGGGAUAAGUCCAUCAAAACUUCUACUUCAACUCAACAUAAGAUGGGACACAAUUGAAAAAAUUCUGGUUGCCUGAAGAAAUAUUGUGAAUGCUAUCGAGUUUCUUUUCAUAUUUUCUAAGUAUGCGAGCUUUUCUUUAGCCUGUAAGAUAAAAUAUUAUCUUUAUAUUGAAGAGUUGUGUUGGAUGCUCGAUGAGUGUGGUUUUCUAUUGAAGAGUGGUGUUGGAUGCUCGAUGAGUGUGGUUUUACAAGUCUCGAUAUUAUCAUUUACAAUUGAUUUUCCAUUCUGGGUUGGGCUUUUUUUUUUAGCAGGCACAGGGGCUAAAGUUGUAAAAUAAGAAUCCAAUGUUGGUAUGCUUUGUUAUAUCUUUCAGCUUCCUGGAUUCCAUCAAA
Molecule: long non-coding RNA, 907 nt
Organism: Olea europaea var. sylvestris
Lineage: Eukaryota; Viridiplantae; Streptophyta; Magnoliopsida; Lamiales; Oleaceae
Exons: 5
Source: RefSeq, a predicted model, not a curated record